This 253-nucleotide ribosomal RNA is filed under the name uncultured bacterium. RNAcentral describes it as "partial 16S ribosomal RNA". It matches the Rfam family "Bacterial small subunit ribosomal RNA", at positions 524 to 776 of the family's 1533-position model. The record is from RNAcentral.
UACGUAGGGUGCGAGCGUUGUCCGGAAUUAUUGGGCGUAAAGGGCUCGUAGGCGGUUUGUCGCGUCGGGAGUGAAAACACUGGGCUUAACUCAGUGCUUGCUUUCGAUACGGGCAGACUAGAGGUAUGCAGGGGAGAACGGAAUUCCUGGUGUAGCGGUGAAAUGCGCAAAUAUCAGGAGGAACACCGGUGGCGAAGGCGGUUCUCUGGGCAUUACCUGACGCUGAGGAGCAAAAGCGUGGGGAGCGAACAGG